RNAcentral lists this ribosomal RNA (497 nucleotides) under uncultured bacterium. RNAcentral describes it as "partial 16S ribosomal RNA". It matches the Rfam family "Bacterial small subunit ribosomal RNA", at positions 28 to 507 of the family's 1533-position model. The record is from RNAcentral.
GAUGAACGCUGGCGGCGUGCCUAAUACAUGCAAGUCGAGCGAACGGACGAGAAGCUUGCUCUUCUGAUGUUAGCGGCGGACGGGUGAGUAACACGUGGAUAACCUACCUAUAAGACUGGGAUAACUUCGGGAAACCGGAGCUAAUACCGGAUAAUAUUUUGAACCGCAUGGUUCAAAAGUGAAAGACGGUCUUGCUGUCACUUAUAGAUGGAUCCGCGCUGCAUUAGCUAGUUGGUAAGGUAACGGCUUAACAAGGCAACGAUGCAUAGCCGACCUGAAAGGGUGAUCGGACACACGGGAACUGAGACAGGGUCGAGACUCCUACGGGAGGAAGCAGUAGGGAAUCUUACGCAAUGGGGGAAAGCCUGACGGAGCAACGCCGCGUGAGUGAUGAAGGUCUUCGGAUGGGAAAACUCUGUUAGUAGGGAAGAACAAAUGCGUAAGUAACUGUGCACAUCUUGACGGUACCUAAUCAGAAAGCCACGGCUAACUACGUG